AUAAAAAUUGAUCGCUUCGUAUACGACGAAGAAGCAAAAUUCAUUGGCACGAGAUCUGAAACGUCAGCUCAAGAAUUAAUACGCGGUGUUCGUUUCAUUGGAAAAAAUUCUACGAUUCAGUACUUUAGAAAUAUCUAUCGAUCAAUAUCAAUUUAAAAAAUCAGCAAUGUGACGAAAAUAAAACAAUUAUUGCGUAUCGCACGAAUCGAAGGCAGCAGCGAUCUCGUCAAAGCAGUUACUUUGCAUUACGCCAACGAAGCUACGUAAAAGAGUCGAGUACACACAAAAGAAUAGACUUUGUGGACGAUGCAUUUUCUACGUACUUCGGCAAACGCUUCAGCCUCGAUUCAAUUCUACGAAACGUGUAUGUGUGUUUUUUUUUCGUCAUUCAUCCACAUGCAUCCACGCAUUGAAAUUUUGCCAUCGCAGAGAAAAUAUUUACGCUCUAUUUUGAAAAGAAAAACUAAACCGAUUGGUUUUUCAAAAAAAAAGUAUAAUAAAUAAGUGUGUGACAAUCCUA
This is a long non-coding RNA of Venturia canescens, 520 nucleotides long. RefSeq lists it as uncharacterized. The transcript is spliced from 2 exons. NCBI's taxonomy places the organism in Eukaryota, Metazoa, Arthropoda, Insecta, Hymenoptera, Ichneumonidae. The record is from RefSeq and is a predicted model, not a curated record.